CACCACUCAAGCCUAGCUUGGUAUUGGGCGUCGCGAUUUCCGCGCGCCUUAAAGUCUCCGGCUGAGCAGUUCGUCUCUAAGCGUUGUGAUUUUCAAAUCGCUGAAGAGUUCGGGCGGCGACGGCCGUUAAAUCUUUAUUCAA
Molecule: unclassified non-coding RNA, 142 nt
Filed under: uncultured fungus
Lineage: Eukaryota; Fungi
Description: sequence contains ITS2
Source: RNAcentral